AGAUGUGAGGGCGAUCUGGUUGCGACAUCUGCCACCCCAUAGAUCGCCAGGGUUGGUUUGGCUGAUCUGGCUGGCUAGGCGGGUGUCCCCUUCCUCCCUCUCACUCCAUGUGCCUCUCUUCUGAAGCUUCACGCUCCGUGGAAGAGGACCACCCCAAUAGAGCAGGACUGUUUUCUCAGGGUCAUACAAGCAGCUGUGCUCCCCUGUUAGAACCUCCAAAAAAGCUCUUAAGGAUUCUCAGACCCCUCUCAGGAUGCCAGUUGAAAACUCUGCUCUUGCUAGAUCCUCUGAAAAGUACAUUUGAAGUUACAAAACUAGCAUGCACAACAUGAGAGCUACAUUCA
This is a non-coding RNA of Heterocephalus glaber (naked mole-rat), 344 nucleotides long. Lineage: Eukaryota; Metazoa; Chordata; Mammalia; Rodentia; Bathyergidae. The record is from Rfam.